AUUUUAUAUUCUACUUAGGUUUUUAAGUGUGCUGGUGCUUCUCACAAGUUAAAAAAAGCAUUUUACACCGUCUUCAUCAGAUCUGGUUCUCUUUUUGAUGUAUGUUUUCGUAUUAGAGUGAACUGAAUUUAGGGUUUCUUUUGGUUCUUCAUUUAAUCUUGCCGCUUGGUCGAUUUUUUUUGUACAGUUUGCACAUCAAGAGCAGCUUUCAUCUACCAGAAGCAUAAUUGCAUUGAUGUGUUGUGGAAAACUUUCUUACUCCUGAGUUGAUAUGGGUUUUGAUAUUGAAUGCAUAAUUGACAUCCAUACCUAUCCUGGAGAGUAUUUCUGUCCUGUUUGUCGCACACUCAUAUUUCCUAAUGAAGCCGUCCAAUCACAGUGCACCCAUCUCUACUGCAAACCUUGUCUGGCACAUGUUGCCAAUGGGAGCCGAGCCUGUCCUUAUGAUGGAUACUUGGUGACUGAAGCAGACUCUAAAGCCCUUAUCGAGUCGGACAAGAAACUUGCUGAAAGCAUAGGCAGAGUUAAAGUGCGUUGUCUCUAUCACAGAAGUGGAUGCACAUGGGAAGGUUCCUUCUCUGAUUGCACUUCCCAUUGUUCUGGCUGUUCCUUUGGCGACUCCCCAGUUGUAUGCAAUAGAUGUGGAGUCCAGAUUGUGCAUCGACAAGUGCAUGAGCAUGCCCUGAGUUGCCCUGGUGUAUAUCCUGCACAACAGGCAACUCAUGGUGCCGAGGAUAAUCCUAGCUCUGGUGCAGCCACCACUGCUGCUGGUACCGACUUGAAUAAAACUAAGGCUCAUUCAGGAACUCCGGCAUCACAGACACCAAACCCUCAAACCACAACUGCUUCUCUGCUUCCUGGACAAGAUCCCAAUCAGCAAACAAGUGCCAGCUCUCAGGCUCUUGCUACUGCUUCAGCUGGUGUGCCUACUUCAGAGCAGUGGUAUCAGCAACAGUAUCAGCAGUAUUAUCAGCAAUAUGCUGGAUAUGAGCCUUAUCAACAACAAACUUAUCAACAAUACUAUCCUUAUCAGCAACAGUCCCUCCAACAAUAUCAGCAACAACCUCACAUUUACAUGCAGCCACCAGCACAACCCCAGACCCCGGCCCCAGCCCAGCCGCAGCCCCAGCCGCAGCCACUUAAUCCUCAAUCUCAUACUCAAAUGCAAGCUCUACCUAAAGGGCCAACUCAACCACAGGUUCAACCUCUGGCACAACAGCAUCAAAAUCAGGUUCAAGUCAACCCAGUACAGCAGCUCCCACCUACUAUGCAACCUCAUGCCCAAAUUCCAUCACAAAUAUAUCCAGCUUCUCGUGCUCAUCCACCUACUCAGCCUCCGCCAUAUUCACAGACCUAUUCAAUGCAGCCUCAUUCACAACAAUAUGUGCAAGUGCCACAGUAUCAGCAGCCUCCUGCCCAGGUUCAUCCCCCUCCAUCCUCUCAAGCCCAACCACAUCCUCCUGUGCAAGCACAACCUCAUUCACAACUCCAGCCGCAAAUAAAUGUGCAACAUCAUCCACAAUCUCAUGGCCAAUUGCGCCCUCCUCAGGUCGGCCAGCCUGCUCAUGCACAGGGUCAGACCCUCCCUUCAACAGCCAAUGCAGUUUCAGGUUUCCAUUCCUAUCCACAAACCCAGCUUACGCAGCAAGUGGCUAUAGGGAUGUCACAGCAACCUCCAAUGUACCCGCAUCCUACUAGUGGGUCUAUGAGUCUGGUUCAAACUCAUGGUCAGGUUCCUCAACCUCCCUUAAUGCGCCCACCUCUGGGUCUAAUCGGCAAUCAGCAACCGGGGCUGGUACCUUCUCAAGGUCAAGUUCCUGCACAAUCUCAACUUUAUCCUAUUGCUCAGCAAGCAGGACACUCAAUUCAGCAACAUCCUGGUCAGUCUAAUCAACAGCCAAUGUCUCAACAGUACAGUCAUCAUCAUACAUUUCCUGGUCCAUUUCCAAGCCAAUCUCACCAGCAAGGUCAUUUUACUCACCAGCAGCCGUUGCAGUCCCAAUUUCGCCCACAAGGUCUUCCUAAUGUGGUGCCUCAAAGUUUGCAUGGGUAUAUUCAACCGCAGCAAAAUGCCACCUUACCACCUCCUCCACAGCCUCAACAAUCUCAAGCAUAUAUAGGAAGGCCUGGGAUGCAAAAUCAUGUCCAGUCGAUUUCACAGGCUCAUGGUGGAUAUAAUACUACAGCCCAGGUUAGACCUGUCCAGCCUGCUUUAAGCCAGCCGCAAAUAAAUCCAAGUUAUGGGAACUACACGGGCAAUGAGCAUGAGUUGGUGGAUCAGAAGAAACGGUUAGCCCUAGAAAGUAAAGGUGAUCUGUUACCUGACAAAACUGCUGGAAGGAAAGAAGCGGGAGUUCCUUCCCAGGACAAUGCUCAAAAGGAUCUAAAUUCUCUUCCAGCCAAAUCAAUUGAUGAUGAGUACAGACAGAGGGCCAGCAGUGAUAUAGAUGUCCGUAGGGGUGAUUCAGAUGAGCUUAUGGACAAAAGAACUGUCAAGAAAGAGGAAGAUGACACUUUUUUGAAGCCUAAAUCUGCUGCCAAAUCAGCUGAUGCAACAGUUAAACCAGACAAAGAUGCCUGUGAUGAUGUUCCAAAAGAACUGGACCAGACUCUGGAAAAGCAUGGAUCUUCUGAUGCUACCGAUGGUUCGAUUAAGAAUCUGAACUCUGGAAGAGAUUCACAUGACGCUACCACUGACGGAGGGGUUUUUCAGCAGUAUGGGCAUGGGAUGCCACAACCGAAAUAUGGACCGUCUACUCAGCAAAGGCCCGUUGGUCCUAUGAUAAUAUCACCAGUGCGACCUGCAGGCAGUACUUCUCAUGGCCAACUCCCUGGAUAUCCCCCCACUGCAAUGAUGCCUUCAGGGAAUGUACCUCAGGCUGGUCAGCCAUUGAAUUCUCUUGAUCAUCGUCCACAAUUCUUGAAGCAGCCUAGUAGUGCCCCCCUUGGUGGUAUCCCUGGUCCAGGGUCUAUUACAACCUUUGCUAGGGGGCAUGGUCAUUUUCCUCCACCAGGUGAGUUCCCAGAGGGGAUUACGGGAGUAGGAAGAGCACUGUUAAGUGGUGCUGAAAUUCCUAGUGGAACACAACACUCUGUUAAUCCAGCAGAGGCUGAAAUGUUUCAAAACCAAAGGGUGAAUUGUUUUGAAGGAAAUCAAUCAAACCCAUUUUCCUCAGGGUCUUUUGAGAAGGUUCCAUUUGGCCAACCUAGAAGUAUGGAAUCUGCUAGGGAUAAAAGGUUGAAGGCGCCUAUGGGGGAGCAUUUAAUUCCUUUACCGGUGCCUUCUGAUCAAGGAUCACGGCCACAUGACAAACCUCCUCACGGAUUAGGAUAUGAUUCUGGAUCAAAAUUUGAGGCCAGUACCGGGGUUCCACCGAACAGAUUAUUGCCUCCACAUCAUCCUCCUGGUUCGAUGCAUUUCAAGGAUAGUGGAGAAAGAGAAGCACCACUUGGUCCUCAUGACGAUGAUAGAAAAAGAGGAGGAUCUGGAUUCGGUGUGCAUCAUUUGGAUUAUUUGUCUGCCAGAAACCCUGAUGGGGAGUUAUUUAACAUUCCACAACGUGGAUUUGUAAGUCACUCAGGUUUUGAUGAUACUGGUGGCAGAGAGCCCCGUCAAUUUAUUGAAGGGCCAGGACAUUUCAAUUUACCUUCCAAUCUAGCUGGCGGCUUAUACUCUAAUAGUAGGUUCCAAGCUUUGCCUGGCCAUCCACAUGGAGUAGAGACUGAUGGUCUUGGGGAUUUGAGAGGUGGUGAGCAUACUACCUUUGGUCGUCCUUACAAACAUGUCCAGAGUGGUGAUCUGUUUGGAAAAGACAUGCCGAGUCAUUUGCAUCAUGAUGAGUCUUUGGAUCCUCCGAAAUUACCAAGUCAUUUACGUUUUGAUAAACCUGGUGGCUUUGGUUCCUUCGCUGGCCGUGCUUAUAUGGGGGAGUUGUCUGGGUUUGGAGAUAUUCCUGGUUUUGAUGAAUCAGUUGGACGCAACAAACCUGGUAUGCCACAGUUUGGGGAGCCUGGCUUCAGGAGCAGGUAUCCUGUUCCGGGGUAUCCGAAUCACGGACUUUAUGCAGGUGAUGUGGACUCCUUUGAUAGACCAAGAAAGAGGAAGCCCACGAGUAUGGGAUGGUGCCGCAUUUGCAAGGUUGAUUGUGAAACCGUUGAGGGCCUAGAUAUGCAUUCACAGACAAGAGAGCACCAGGAUAUGGCUAUGGAUAUGGUCAGGUCUAUCAAGGAGCAAAACCGAAUGAAACAGAAGACUUUUAGUGAUCGUCCUUCAGUUGAAGAGAAAGGGAGGACUAGAAAGGCAGUGUUCGAGAGCCGUGGUAGAAAGACUUGAGCUUGGGAUAGUAGAUAGGAAGUGAAAGGCUGUGUUUGAUGGUUGUAACUAAGCCUUCAGUCAAGCAUUUGCACCGCAAUGUAGGUGAUUAGCUUUACAAUCUUUCUUCUUCUUCUGGGGGUUUUAUCCUAGCUUUGUCAUUUCAGGUUGCCGCCCUGUUGUUGGAAGAUGGUUUGGAUUGGAAGUUUCUGUGGCAGAACUCCAUUUCCACAUGGGAAAAUUAGUCUAGCUAAGUGCAGUACCACUAUAUUCUGCUGGAUAAUGUUGACAGGAAGAACCUAAUGUAAGAUCUUCUCAAUUGCACGACGAAGCAUCUAGACCCUGAGGAUCACCUUUGUCAUUAGUUAGGAGUGGUUACACAUUUCAACUUCCAUUGCAGGCUGUUUAUGGAAGUACAACCAUCAGGAAGAAUGUCGUAGUAUUUGUUUGUAAAAUAUAAGGGUGAUCUUCAAUGUAGCAGUGUCUUUUAUUGUUUCUACCUUUGUUCUAUGAUAAACAAACUCUUUGAUCUUUCCCUUCAUUUUGAUAUUAGAGCUGGAAGAGUAAAUACUGCUCUAAGUUAAUUUUACCCUGUAAAGGCUGUUGGGGAUGUAUUAGUUACAGCAAAUGUGAAGAUAUGUACAUUUUUCAAGUUUAAAGCAAAUGAUUUGUAAAUA
This is a non-coding RNA of Solanum lycopersicum (tomato), 4989 nucleotides long. The record is from RefSeq and is a predicted model, not a curated record. Lineage: Eukaryota; Viridiplantae; Streptophyta; Magnoliopsida; Solanales; Solanaceae.